Non-coding RNA from Pseudonaja textilis, 1412 nucleotides. The record is from RefSeq and is a predicted model, not a curated record. NCBI's taxonomy places the organism in Eukaryota, Metazoa, Chordata, Lepidosauria, Squamata, Elapidae.
CUGCAGUGGGAAAAGUGCGAUCCCCAACAACGCAAGCGGAGGAGCCCUCGGAGCCGGAUCUGGAGAGUCGGACUUUAAUGGACGACCAAGAGAUCUGACGUCCCGCAAGAGAGAAAGGGAAGCGAAGAGAGAGAAUGGUGUGUCAAUAGCGGUGAGAGUGAAAGAGUUUGGCUUUGCGAAAGUGCUAAGAGACAGAGAGCCCAGAAAGUGACAGUAAAAGUGAAAGCUCAAGGAGGCACACGGACAGUGAAAUAAUGAGCAGAGCAGAACAGGGAGAGGAAGAAAGGGGGUGCCAGCAACUGUGAAGAAAGAACAAAAGAGAAGAAAAAGUAAGAGAUUAACUGUGUUUUGUUGGAGGAGGUGAAAGUGAUUAAACUGGGAGUGUGGUUGAAAUUCGAGCUUUCAAAAGAAUAACACUGUUGCAGCAGACGAAACAAAGCAGAGAAAAAAAAUAAGGACAGGAGAGUGACUCUCACUGUGCACAAUUGUAAGAGCCGGACAUUUUGAAAGUGGAAAGUUAAAAUUAAAUCUUUAAGACUACAGUUUUCAGCACUACAGUAAGAUACAGCAACCGGAUUGGAGUUUCAAAAAAUAAUUUUGUUUGAAAUCAACUGUCAGGUUGGAUUAUUACAUUUAAAAAUAUUGUGGUUAAAUUUUUUUCUUUUUUCUUUUUCUUUACCUCUCUUUUGGUGGUGCAUUAUAUUCAAUGUUAAUAAUAUUAAAACAUUCAUGUUAAUAUAGAUAAUAUUGAAUAGAAUUUAAAGAAGAGUAUAUAAUUAAGGGAUUGGUUCUGCAAAACAAUUUAAAGAAAAUAAUAUAGUGAACGUAAAAGGAUUGUAAAAAUUGAUACAACUUAGAUUCAGUGUUUUUCUCAGCAAAGUAUAAUUGUUAUCAAAAGUAUAUUGGGAUAUUGAACUGGGACUUUAUAGAAUUAUAUUGAUUGUUAGAAAUAGGAUAUUGAUUGUACAACUAUAUGUUAAAUUGCCAAUUAAUUAAAUCAGGAGAACAUUGAACGGUGUUGUGGGAAAAGAUAGAAAAAAAUACUAGGACAGCAACAUAAAAUACUGCAAGAAAUGACAAGUUUCACAACAACUACAGUGAAGACUCGGAAGAAACCCAUUCCAGCAACAGCAACAGCUAUACCAUCCCCAUCUACACAAAGAUCUAUAGAAGGAAUGUUCACAACAGACAAAACAACCUCUGCGACGAACGCACAGACCAUGCAGGCUACAUUAUUAUCUAUACAAGAAACAAUGAUAAAAGCUACAGGAAAAUAUGACUAGAAACCACAGAGAAAUGAAGAUUGAAAGGGAGGAAGUGAAAAGAGAAGUCAGAAAUGAUAUUCAGAAGCUGGAUGAGAAGGUGGGGCUGAUCCAAGAGGUUUUACAAAAAAACGACCAGACUGCAAAUGA